GCAUUAAUUAAGCAUGCGAAAGGCUGACUUUUUAGAACAAAAUGAAUAGUUAAAGGACUUAAACUAAACCAAAUUGUAUGAAAUUUUGUACAGUAAUUAAAAACCCGACCAAUUUUCAAUCUAUUAACUCAAAAUAUGAUUACAGCUUUUGAAUUUUGUGCGCGAGCCAUUUUUAGUUUGUUGGAAAGGGCACCCCCCCCCCCCCUGGUUCACAAAAUUUGAGUUCGAGAAAUUUUUUUCAUUAUUUUACAUUUUAAGUACCCAAAGAACCUAUAUAUAUAAAAAACCAGCUACAAAUAGGUGUUUUGCGAAAUUGAGAGCAAUUUCAAAUCUGUUCAGUUUUUUUUUAUACACCCUGUAUAGUAUA
This is a non-coding RNA of Paramuricea clavata, 367 nucleotides long. NCBI's taxonomy places the organism in Eukaryota, Metazoa, Cnidaria, Anthozoa, Malacalcyonacea, Plexauridae. The record is from the annotation of a GenBank genome assembly.